This 465-nucleotide ribosomal RNA is filed under the name uncultured bacterium. Its description in RNAcentral is "partial 16S ribosomal RNA". It matches the Rfam family "Bacterial small subunit ribosomal RNA", at positions 28 to 507 of the family's 1533-position model. The record is from RNAcentral.
GACGAACGCUGGCGGCGUGCUUAACACAUGCAAGUCGAACGGAAAGGCCCCUUUGGGGUUACUCGAUUGGCGAACGGGUGAGUAACACGUGAUUAACCUGCCCUUGCCUUCGGGAUAACUUCAGUAAACUGGGGCUAAUACCGGAUAGGAAUCCUUGCUGCAUGGUGGGGGUUGGAAAGCUUCGGCGGUUUUGGAUGGACUCGCGGCUUAUCAGCUUGUUGGUGGGGUAGUGGCUUACCAAGGCUUUGACGGGUAGCCGGCCUGAGAGGGCGACCGGCCACAUUGGGACUGAGAUACGGCCCAGACUCCUACGGGAGGCAGCAGUGGGGAAUAUUGCACAAUGGGCGGAAGCCUGAUGCAGCAACGCCGCGUGCGGGAUGACGGCCUUCGGGUUGUAAACCGCUUUCAGCAGGGGCGAAGCUUGUGGUGACGGUACCUGCAGAAGAAGCACCGGCUAACUACGUG